RNAcentral lists this ribosomal RNA (255 nucleotides) under uncultured bacterium. RNAcentral describes it as "partial 16S ribosomal RNA". It matches the Rfam family "Bacterial small subunit ribosomal RNA", at positions 524 to 776 of the family's 1533-position model. The record is from RNAcentral.
UACGUAGGGUGCAAGCGUUGUCCGGAAUUAUUGGGCGUAAAGAGCUCGUAGGCGGUUCGUCGCGUCGGCUGUGAAAACCUGAGGCUCAACUCCGGAUCUGCGGUGGGUACGGGCAGACUAGAGUGAUGUAGGGGAGACUGGAAUUCCUGGGUGUAGCGGUGAAAUGCGCAGAGUAUCAGGAGGAACACCGAUGGCGAAGGCAGGUCUCUGGGCAUUAACUGACGCUGAGGAGCGAAAGCAUGGGGAGCGAACAGG